UACGUAGGGUGCAAGCGUUACUCGGAAUUAUUGGGCGUAAAGCGCGUGUAGGCGGUUCUGUAAGUCUGAUGUGAAAUCCCGGAACUCAAUUUCGGAAGUGCAUUGGAUACUGCAGGACUAGAGUAUCGGAGGGGUCGACGGAAUUCCUGGUGUAGAGGUGAAAUUCGUAGAUAUCAGGAGGAACAACAGUGGCGAAGGCGGUUGACUGGACGAUUACUGACGCUGAGACGCGACAGUGUGGGGAGCAAACAGG
RNAcentral lists this ribosomal RNA (253 nucleotides) under uncultured bacterium. RNAcentral's name for it is "partial 16S ribosomal RNA". It matches the Rfam family "Bacterial small subunit ribosomal RNA", at positions 524 to 776 of the family's 1533-position model. The record is from RNAcentral.